This 512-nucleotide ribosomal RNA is filed under the name uncultured bacterium. RNAcentral describes it as "partial 16S ribosomal RNA". It matches the Rfam family "Bacterial small subunit ribosomal RNA", at positions 28 to 507 of the family's 1533-position model. The record is from RNAcentral.
GAUGAACGCUGGCGGCGUGCCUAAUACAUGCAAGUCGAACGAAACUUCUUUAUGAUUGAGUGCUUGCACUCACCGGUAAAGGGUUGAGUGACGAACGGAUGAGUAACAUGUGGGAAACCUGCCCAAAAGAGGGGGAUAACACUAGGAAACAGGUUCUAAUACAGCAUAACCAUAGUUACCGCAUGACAACUAUGUUGAAGGUGGUUGUUCUAUCCCCUCUGGAUGGGCCCGUGGCGCAUUAGCUAGUUGGUAGGGUAAAGGCUUACCAAGGCAAUGAUGCGUAGCCGAAUUGAGAGGUUGAUCGGCCACACUGGAACUGAGACACGGCCCAGACUCCUACGGGAGGCAGCAGUAGGGAAUCUUCCACAAUGGGCGAAAGCCUGAUGGAGCAACGCCGCGUGGGUGAAGAAGGUCUUCGGAUCGUAAAACCCUGUUGUUAGAGAAGAAAGUGCGUGAGAGUAACUGUUCACGUCUUGACGGUAUCUAACCAGAAAGCCACGGCUAACUACGUG